UUUUGUUCUUCAGGAAAGAAGCCCGAGAGCUGCACACUCGGUUAACCCGUCAGUGCCCGGAGGGGGUCCUGGCGGACGUGUGCGGGUGACCAGGGAGCUGCGGCCAGAAUGCCGGCGCCUCUCGCUGCAGACAGGCGAGCCCGCGGGGCACGCGCUGCGCCCCCACAGGGGCAGCCUAUGUGGUCUGUAUCCGAAAUGGUGAUGCCUGAGUAUCAUUCCCCCCGUGGGGCUCUCCCAGCCCCGAGGGACUGUUGGUAAGUUGCCAGCUGUGUUUAUCCCUCGAGGUGCGUCUUUCCGGCCCUUUGUUUUACAGUCUGCCUAGGUGCACCUCUUCGCAGUGGAACUGCAGGGGAAAAGCCAUGAAGACCCGUCCGGAGCUGCCCUCCUUGAUGCGUGCGCCUACGACAGCCCCACCACCCCCACCCCCACCCCCGGACCCUCCGGACCAUAGUGGUCAUUUUCUGCAAGCAUCUGUCUUCUCUUAGAUGUCUGAAUGAUUAGCAUAUCCUGACAUGGGAAAUUUUCAUGUAAUAAAGAUUUUUUUCUCCUUUUAAA
This is a long non-coding RNA of Neogale vison (American mink), 555 nucleotides long. RefSeq lists it as uncharacterized. The record is from RefSeq and is a predicted model, not a curated record. The transcript is spliced from 3 exons. NCBI's taxonomy places the organism in Eukaryota, Metazoa, Chordata, Mammalia, Carnivora, Mustelidae.